This 72-nucleotide transfer RNA is filed under the name Microcaldota archaeon. RNAcentral's name for it is "tRNA-Thr". It matches the Rfam family "tRNA". From Rfam's summary of the family: Transfer RNA (tRNA) molecules are approximately 80 nucleotides in length. Their secondary structure includes four short double-helical elements and three loops (D, anti-codon, and T loops). Further hydrogen bonds mediate the characteristic L-shaped molecular structure. tRNAs have two regions of fundamental functional importance: the anti-codon, which is responsible for specific mRNA codon recognition, and the 3' end, to which the tRNAs corresponding amino acid is attached (by aminoacyl-tRNA synthetases). tRNAs cope with the degeneracy of the genetic code in two manners: having more than one tRNA (with a specific anti-codon) for a particular amino acid; and 'wobble' base-pairing, i.e. permitting non-standard base-pairing at the 3rd anti-codon position. The record is from RNAcentral. RNAcentral also lists the same sequence under 3 other names. Lineage: Archaea; Nanobdellati; Microcaldota.
GCCCCUGUAGCUCAGUGGUAGAGCGACUGCAUGGUAAGCAGUAGGUCGCGAGUUCAAUUCUCGCCAGGGGCU